RNAcentral lists this unclassified non-coding RNA (201 nucleotides) under plant metagenome. Its description in RNAcentral is "partial contains small subunit ribosomal RNA, internal transcribed spacer 1, and 5.8S ribosomal RNA". The record is from RNAcentral.
UCUCCGUUGGUGAACCAGCGGAGGGAUUAUUAUCGAGUUUAUAACUCCCAAACCCUAUGUGAACUUACCACUUGUUGCUUCGGCGCGCGCUUCGGUGCCGCCGAGGACACUUAAACUCUUUGUUUUUAUAAGCAUUUCUGAGUGGCCGAAAGGCAAAAUACAAAUGAAUCAAAACUUUCAACAACGGAUCUCUUGGUUCUG